CCUACGGGCGGCAGCAGUGAGGAAUAUUGGUCAAUGGGAGAGAUCCUGAACCAGCCAAGCCGCGUGAGGGAAGACGGCCCUAUGGGUUGUAAACCUCUUUUGUCGGAGAACAAAACCCGGGACGUGUCCCGGACUGCGUGUAUCCGAAGAAAAAGCAUCGGCUAACUCCGUGCCAGCAGCCGCGGUAAUACGGAGGCUGCGAGCGUUAUCCGGUUUUCUUGGGUUUAAAGGGUGCGUAGGCGGUCCGUUAAGUCAGCGGUAAAAUGGCGGGGCGCAACCCUGUCGAGCCGUUGAAACUGGCAGACUUGAGGUGGGGAGAAGUACGCGGAAUGCGCGGUGUAGCGGUGAAAUGCAUAGAUAUCGCGCAGAACUCCGAUUGCGAAGGCAGCGUACCGGCGCCAGACUGACGCUGAGGCACGAAAGCGUGGGGAUCGAACAGGAUUAGAUACCCGAGUAGUC
Molecule: ribosomal RNA, 459 nt
Filed under: uncultured bacterium
Lineage: Bacteria
Description: partial 16S ribosomal RNA
Rfam family: Bacterial small subunit ribosomal RNA
Source: RNAcentral